RNAcentral lists this ribosomal RNA (253 nucleotides) under uncultured bacterium. RNAcentral describes it as "partial 16S ribosomal RNA". It matches the Rfam family "Bacterial small subunit ribosomal RNA", at positions 524 to 776 of the family's 1533-position model. The record is from RNAcentral.
UACAGGGGGUGCAAACGUUGCUCGGAAUCAUUGGGCGUAAAGCGCACGUAGGCGGUUAUUUAAGUCGGAUGUGAAAGCCCUUGGCUCAACCGAGGAAGUGCAUCCGAAACUGAAUAGCUGGAGUACGAAAGAGGGUCGCGGAAUUCCUGGUGUAGCGGUGAAAUGCGCAGAUAUCAGGAGGAACACCGAUGGCGAAGGCAGGUCUCUGGGCCGAUACUGACGCUGAGGAGCGAAAGCGUGGGGAGCGAACAGG